Long non-coding RNA from Erpetoichthys calabaricus (reedfish), 2516 nucleotides. RefSeq lists it as uncharacterized. NCBI's taxonomy places the organism in Eukaryota, Metazoa, Chordata, Cladistia, Polypteriformes, Polypteridae. The record is from RefSeq and is a predicted model, not a curated record. The transcript has 2 exons.
UGCAUUUGUUUUCAGAAGGUGUGUUGAGUUCCUUUUGUUCAGAGUGAAUACUUGGCAGAGACUGAGAGGUGAGUUUUGUAAUCAUCCUGCCUGACUUGAGGUGCAAUAAUAACGCAUGUUAACUAAUCACCAUUUUCACUGUUUUGUUGAAUUGUCACACAUCCUCCAUAUUAAAACAACAAUGUACAAAAAGAUCAGGGUAUUACCGCUAUUAAAGUAGCAUAUGAUUGAGAAAUAGAUCAGGGGCUUAAGCCUCUGAAGCCCCCAGCCAUAAACCGCCCCAUCCUGACCCCACUGUUUGCAGUCCUUCCUAAGGCCCAGUAUUGGCAAUGAUAAUCCAACAGCAGAGCUGCAGCACCAGGUCUUACACCAGCAGUUUUAAUGAUAGAAGUUAACGAUAGGGGUUAGUGUUGUUAGCAUAUAAUAGAGAUAUGCGCUGAUAACAAUUCCACCAUGACAAUGCCUGUGUAGAGUUGCUGGUAUAGGCCUUUGUUGUGGUGCUGUCGCUCUGCAGCUGGAUGCUUCUCAUUAUCAGUCAUAAUGGGUCAAUUUGGAAGAGCCAGCAAAUGUAACAUGCACAUAGACACAAGGAGAACGUGCAAAGUCUGUGGAGAAAAUGACAGGGCUUGGGAUUUGAACACAGGAUGUUGAAUUUGUAGGAAAAAUCACACACAUAUAUAUAUAUAUAUAUCAUAGUUUCUUAAACUAUGGGUUGCGACCCAUUUUGGGCCACACAGAAUCAUGAUUCAGAGUUCUAUUCAAUGGGAAAGUGCCGCGGACAGUUGGUGGAGUGUCCCAUCACAGCAUCGACCCUUCAAGGAGGACCCCACCAGUCCCCUGACCGUGAUACCUGCAAAUCUUACAAAUGCCCCUGACUGGCACCCUGUUCAGGAUUGGCUCCUUCAUUUAGCAGAAUGGUAUAGUAGCUGGCAUUGCUAACACCCAGAUCUAGGGACUUCAUUCAUGUACUGGACAUAGUGUUCCUCACAAGCUUAAACACAAAAAUUAAUAUGGAGAUUUGUAAGGAAAUAUAUGACAUAUUUAUUACAGGAGAUUGUUUAUUGAAUAUUUAAUAUUAGAAGUUCCCACUUGGUACAGUUUGCCCUCCACAUUUUGCUAGACCCACCGUAUAGACCUCAUAGCUCACCGUGAUUGUUAGCACCUAGUGGUGGGUGGGCUGUAUUUGCAGAACUGAGAGGACUGAAAUGGCUCAGUGCCACUAAAUUCUUAGUGUAAAAUUAGGUCUGUCCACCAUAAAGGUGAACACUAAGGAAUAUUUUCAAUAUUCAGUUACACCUAUUUACCGAAACAUCUCAGAACCAAUUCAUUGCCUUCCUCAUCCAUGCUCAUUACUACUCCAUUCUCUUGGGACACGUAGAAGUCCUAUAUUAAUGGCAGGAUCUUCAUCUAAUCACAGGCCAUAAUGAAAGGUGCUUUCAAAGUAAACGCAUUGCAUUCAUUUACGAUUUUUACUUAAUCAUUAUUAUUCACUGUUGUAUUUGAUUCCCUGGUCUGACUGAGGUGUAGCUUGUAGGCCUUUAGGUAAAAUGAUGCACGAUCUGUUGGAAUGACAAACACAACACAUUUUAUUACUACAAAUGUUUGUGAUGUGCCAUCUGUUGGAAUGAUGAAUAUAAAGUGUGUCUUCACAUAGACACAGGGAAUAAAUUGCCAGGUAUUGUGGUGGGGAGAAGGUCUUCAGAAACCUUCAUAAAUCAACCAGGUCAAGAGGAUUGGCAAGGUUAGUUGGGUUAAAUGGCCUGUUCUCUCCAAUAUUCUAAUAUAAGAGCUGUAUCCAAAGGGAGCGGAUAAUGUAAAAAACAAAACUUUGGGGUUUUAGCCAAGUUUAACUUAUAGUGCUAAAAAAAUACCUCAUGUGGAGUCUGUAUGUUCAUGCAGUCCCAUGUGGGCUUUUCCUUCUACAUCACACAGUCAUGUAUUUUAGGUCAUCAUUGACACUUGUCUGGACACUGUGAGUGAGUGGGGUGUGUGCAUGAGUGAGACUGGUGAUGGGCUGGUGCCUGCCAAUUAUACCAAGCUAAACUCUACCACACCAAACACAAAAUCUACCAAGACACUACCAAGUUAGAUUGUACCACACACAAACAGAUAUACAGUAUAAAGGGCAUUGGUGGGUUUGCUAACAACUUCUACAAUUUGAAUCAGUUGUAACUUUUAUGUUAUUGUUUCAAUUAAAAAAAUAUUGUAUGUAAAAUGACAGACAGACAGACAGAUAGAUAGAUAGAUAGAUAGAUAGAUAGAUAGAUAGAUAGAUAGAUAGAUAGAUAGAUAGAUAGAUAGAUAGAUAGAUAGAUAGAUAGAUAGAUAGAUAGAUAGAUAGACAUUUUAUACCAUUCGUUAUUUUACAAACUUGUCCCAAUGAACAGAGUGUUAAUUUUGAGCAUGAAAGACAAUUAGGAGGUCUAAUGCGGGUAAUAAUCUUGAGAGGCUGCCAUCCAGAAAAAUAUAUUCUGUAUUAAAUUUCAAACCACAAUAAAAGCAUGGGAGAAAUUUGA